Cannabis sativa is the source of this 125-nucleotide small nuclear RNA. The record is from RefSeq and is a predicted model, not a curated record. Lineage: Eukaryota; Viridiplantae; Streptophyta; Magnoliopsida; Rosales; Cannabaceae.
GUGUUCGUAGAAAGGAGAGACGGUUGGCAUCUCCCCUGACAGGGACGGGGACAGCCUUCGGGCUUCCCUGUUAUAGACACACCCGGUUUCACCGGUCAAGUAAGAUAGGGUGGUUCGAUUAUUAU